CGACGAUCUGUAGCUGGUCUGAGAGGAUGAUCAGCCACACCGGGACUGAGACACGGCCCGGACUCCUACGGGAGGCAGCAGUGGGGAAUAUUGGACAAUGGGGGCAACCCUGAUCCAGCCAUGCCGCGUGUGUGAAGAAGGCCUUUUGGUUGUAAAGCACUUUAAGCAGUGAAGAAGACUCUGUGGUUAAUACCCACAGACUAUGACAUUAGCUGCAGAAUAAGCACCGGCUAACUCUGUGCCAGCAGCCGCGGUAAUACAGAGGGUGCAAGCGUUAAUCGGAAUUACUGGGCGUAAAGGGAGCGUAGGUGGCUCGAUAAUUCAGAUGUGAAAUCCCCGGGCUCAACCUGGGAACUGCAUGUGAUACUGUUGAGCUAGAGUAUGUGAGAGGAAGGUAGAAUUCCAGGUGUAGCGGUGAAAUGGGUAGAGAUCUGGAGGAAUACGGAUGGGGAAGGCAGCCUUCUGGCAUAAUACUGACACUGAGGCUCGAAAGCGUGGGUAGCAAACAGGAUUAGAUACCCUGGUAGUCCACGCCGUAAACGAUGUCUACUAGUCGUUGGGUCCUUUGAGGACUUAGUGACGCAGCUAACGCAAUAAGUAGACCGCCUGGGGAGUACGGCCGCAAGGUUAAAACUCAAAUGAAUUGACGGGGGCC
Molecule: ribosomal RNA, 655 nt
Filed under: Psychrobacter luti
Lineage: Bacteria; Pseudomonadati; Pseudomonadota; Gammaproteobacteria; Moraxellales; Moraxellaceae
Description: bacterial SSU rRNA
Rfam family: Bacterial small subunit ribosomal RNA
Source: RNAcentral